This 831-nucleotide long non-coding RNA is filed under the name Vulpes vulpes (red fox). RNAcentral describes it as "lncRNA (ENSVVUG00000029369.1)". Lineage: Eukaryota; Metazoa; Chordata; Mammalia; Carnivora; Canidae. The record is from RNAcentral.
GAGUGUGACCUUUCUAGACCACACAAUGAAUCAUUUUUUAAUUUGCAAUUUUUUAAAUGUAAAUAACCAUGAUGAGUCUUUUUUAGGACUGAGAGAGCAAGAUCCAUGGCAGCAGUAAACACCAGGAACUUUUAAAAGCAGUUUCCACUUAACAAAACCACAAGAUCAACCAACCCAUAGUUGGAACUUCAUUGCUAAAUUUUUUCACCUGUGUCUGAGGCAAGCCGAAAUCUGACUCAACUGCCUUAGCUACUCCACCAGGUUCUUCAAACCCAAGAGAAAUUUCAAGCAGAAGACUAUGAAUGUUGCAGACCUUCUUUUCCCUUCUUUUGUCACAGCUGAUAGGGGCUGUGUAUUCUCAGUCCAUGAGAAGAGCUAAAGAGAAGCAAAUUUUCACUUCAAUGCUUGAGAAUACAUUUUACACAUUAUUUAUAACAUUGGUGGGAUUUAAACUAUUUUGAAUUUCUGUAUUUAUUUACUUUUUUUUCUCAUAAUGUUAGAUCCUUAUCAAAAGUUUUCUUGUUAAGUGAACUUUGGUAUAGAAUUAAUGUUUUCUAUCCAGACUUCCCUAGAAAAUAUAGCAGUUGUGUCACUAUGGAUUAAUGUUAUAUAACCAUGAUAUACCUACUCAUUUGUUGAUGACCAAUUUUAAAAAGAUUCUAUAAUGUGGAAUCCAUUAUGGAGAAUGGGUAUAAGAAUAUGUUUCUUACCUUUUUCACAAAUGAAUUGAGAACAUCCAUUUUGGUUGAAUGCAAUUAAUUAUUUUUACUAACAGUUAAAAUAUAUGGCAUAAAAAUAUAAUACUUAAAUAAAAGCAGGUGUAUAUUUCCA